Monodelphis domestica (gray short-tailed opossum) is the source of this 1591-nucleotide long non-coding RNA. Lineage: Eukaryota; Metazoa; Chordata; Mammalia; Didelphimorphia; Didelphidae. The record is from Ensembl.
GGGCGUGAGGGAGCGGGCCCCGCCGGACAGCCCGGUCUUGGUCCCAAAGGCUCCCUGAGGAGGGAGGGGGCCUGCAGAGCGUGCGUGCUGGCCCCGCGCUGGGAAGCCCAGCCUUAGCCCCCAAGGCUCCCGAGGGGACCCUGCAGUGGGCGCGGCCCGCCCCCCCCAGCCCCAGCGACACCCCCUCCCGCGCCCCCUCCUUUUCCCGUGCACUCACGGCCGACAGGGGGCGCCCGCCCAGCGCAGCCCCGUGCGGCCCUGCAGGCUCAGGGUCGACAGCAGCGGCAGCGGCGGCGGCAGAGGCAGAAGCGGAUGAGUCCCGUCUCCGCCCCGUCGCGCCGCUUCCGGUUUCCGCUGGGUCAGAGGCCGGGGGAGGGCGGGACUUAAACGGGCCGCGGAGCGGAAGGGGGAGGGGGAGAGAAGAGGAGGCGGAGCCUGAAGGAGUUGCCAGAGCCCGGCCUCCCGAGAUCUCGCCGCGGGGGCGGGAACUAGCAACCCUGACCCGAACCUAACGAACAGGCAGGGAAACUGAGACUCGAGGAGUAUGGGGAAGGGAAAGUAGCUCCGUAACGAGCCCAUGGGCAGGCGCCAUAGUCCUCAGGGCGUUGAGGGGCUCCGAGCCUGCACCCCCCCAAAUUUGGUUCUUCAUCUCCUGGGAUGAUGGCGCAUACCCAGAACUAGUUACCACGGCAACCAAGCAGCCGUUCUUUUCCGGGUUUAACGCGUGAUUCAGGGCCAGGGCCCCGGCGAAGGCGUACCCAGGCGGGGUCAGUGGCAGCCCAAAGGCUAGAACUUCCCACCUUCCGCCCGGCCCCCGUUUUACACAAGAGCUGGGGUUCCUGGGGGCUUCCCUGCAAGGGGAAGUGACUUGUUCAAGGUCACACGAAGAAUGCCUGCCGGUCCCACUAGUACUCUUAUCUGAGGCCAAUGGUGAAGAAGGUCUUAUCACCCACCCAAAAGGGCUGGGUGUAUGGAGCUGGUCUUCAGAGCAAGCUUAAGGGGCUCCAAGUAGGAACUGGAGGGCAGUGGGGGCCAGCCUUGGAGUCAGGGAAAUCCAGGGUUCGAAUCCUAACCCAGAGUCACUUCUGAAUUGUGUGACAAGUCCCUAUAAGCCUCAAUUUCCUCAUCUAUAAAAUGGAGAUAAUCCCAAAAGGACUUCACCACCUCACUGGGGAGUAACUUGACUUAAGGGAAAUACCAGUGUAGAUGACAUGCCCUGCAAACGCUAGGGCUCUGUGGUAGAAAGAUGCAAAAUCAGAAUCCCUCUUACUGCCUACCUCCUGAUGGAGUUCAGAUGCAGAAGAUUUGCAUUUGUCCAUGUGGCCAAAGUGAAUUUGUUUUGCUUAUCUCGGUUUAUAAGGAAAGAGGACUUUCUUUUUUUAAAACUUCUAACUUCCUUCUUAGUAUCAAUUCUAAGAAGAGGAGGAAGGGCUAGGAAGUGUCGGAGUUAGAUUUGAACCCAGGCCCCCUCCCCCAACUCCAUUAAAAAAAAAAAGAAAUCAAGGGUUGAAAAGAUAGAGCUCCAGUAAUAGUGAUGUACAUUUUAAAAAAGAGAAGAAAGAAUAAAAAGUCAUGGGAGGAGGUUAAAACA